GUAGAAAACCAAAACUGGAUUGUCUGUUACGUUCUAAAAGUAGCUUGGGACACCACCAGCAUGCUGAUUGAGUACCAAGCCUCCUGUGCUGAACCAUAUUUGGUAAUCAAAACCCUACAUGUUAUCAUCUGCAUUUACAUGGAGGAGCAACAUGCGAGAAGAUUUAUUAACAUGAAAUCUAAGAAGUGACCUAAGAUAUGGAACAACAGUGACAUAGAUUUUGCUCACCGAUAAGAGCCUGGGAAUCUUCACACCUGCCUCUGGCCUUAGGAGACAAUUCUGCAGGCAAUUACAUGAAGAAGCACCAAAGAGGAAGCCAUUCGUUCAAGCAAGAGUGCCAAAUCUCAACUCUGUACAGUUGGUCUGACAUCAAAUGAAGAGCCAUUUGAGGAAAGCAAAUAACUAAAUGAAGUGAAUGUCUACUAGUAUGUAUCGACUGUUGACUGUAACAAAUGUGCAAAUCACCUUUACAAAGCAUUUGUCAGUUGUGACAGAGAAACAAGAAAUGGCAACAAAUAUGGAAAGAAGCCAGGUGAACUGUCCAAGAAUAUCUUAAUAAAAAUUAUAUAAAAUCAA
Non-coding RNA from Pelodiscus sinensis (Chinese soft-shelled turtle), 576 nucleotides. The record is from RefSeq and is a predicted model, not a curated record. Lineage: Eukaryota; Metazoa; Chordata; Testudines; Trionychidae.